CGUGGAGAACCUGCCGUAUACUGGGGGAUAACACUUAGAAAUAGGUGCUAAUACCGCAUAAGCGCACAGCUUCGCAUGAAGCAGUGUGGAAAACAAAAGCUAAAGCUUUUGGUGGUAUACGAUGGAUCCGCGUCUGAUUAGCUAGUUGGCGGGGUAAAGGCCCACCAAGGCGACGAUCAGUAGCCGGCCUGAGAGGGUGAACGGCCACAUUGGGACUGAGACACGGCCCAAACUCCUACGGAAGGCAGCAG
Molecule: ribosomal RNA, 251 nt
Filed under: uncultured bacterium
Lineage: Bacteria
Description: partial 16S ribosomal RNA
Rfam family: Bacterial small subunit ribosomal RNA
Source: RNAcentral